GUUGGGCGUAAAGAGCUCGUAGGCGGUUUGUCACGUCUGCUGUGAAAACUGGAGGCUCAACCUCCAGCCUGCAGUGGGUACGGGCAGACUAGAGUGCGGUAGGGGAGAUUGGAAUUCCUGGUGUAGCGGUGGAAUGCGCAGAUAUCAGGAGGAACACCGAUGGCGAAGGCAGAUCUCUGGGCCGUAACUGACGCUGAGGAGCGAAAGCAUGGGGAGCGAACAGGAUUAGAUACCCUGGUAGUCCAUGCCGUAAACGUUGGGAACUAGAUGUAGGGACCAUUCCACGGUUUCUGUGUCGCAGCUAACGCAUUAAGUUCCCCGCCUGGGGAGUACGGCCGCAAGGCUAAAACUCAA
Molecule: ribosomal RNA, 354 nt
Filed under: uncultured bacterium
Lineage: Bacteria
Description: bacterial SSU rRNA
Rfam family: Bacterial small subunit ribosomal RNA
Source: RNAcentral